GUGCUCACUUUGGCAGCACAUAUACUAAAAUUGGGAUGGUACAGAGAAGAUUAGUACGGCCCCUGCUCAAGGAUGGCGUGCAAAUUCGUGAAGCAUUCCAUAUUUUU
Molecule: small nuclear RNA, 107 nt
Organism: Rhinolophus ferrumequinum (greater horseshoe bat)
Lineage: Eukaryota; Metazoa; Chordata; Mammalia; Chiroptera; Rhinolophidae
Source: Ensembl